CCCCCAUUAUCUUUCAGUGAUUCCGCCAAGUUUCGAUGAAAGAUUAUGGGGGUUUUCCUUU
Molecule: non-coding RNA, 61 nt
Filed under: Escherichia coli
Lineage: Bacteria; Pseudomonadati; Pseudomonadota; Gammaproteobacteria; Enterobacterales; Enterobacteriaceae
Source: RNAcentral